UACGGAGGGUGCGAGCGUUGUUCGGAAUCACUGGGCGUAAAGCGCGUGUAGGCGGCCUGUUAAGUCUGGUGUGAAAGCCCGGGGCUCACCCCCGGAAGGGCACUGGAAACUGGCAAGCUCGAGUCCCGGAGAGGAGGGUGGAAUUCCUGGUGUAGCGGUGAAAUGCGUAGAUAUCAGGAGGAACACCGGAGGCGAAGGCGGCCCUCUGGACGGUGACUGACGCUGAGACGCGAAAGCGUGGGGAGCAAACAGG
Molecule: ribosomal RNA, 253 nt
Filed under: uncultured bacterium
Lineage: Bacteria
Description: partial 16S ribosomal RNA
Rfam family: Bacterial small subunit ribosomal RNA
Source: RNAcentral